GUACUUGCUUUGGCAAUACAUAUGCUGAAAUUGUAACAAUACAGAGAAGAUUAGCAUAACCCCUACACAAUGAUGAUACGCAAUUGUGAAACGUUCCACAAUUUU
Molecule: small nuclear RNA, 105 nt
Organism: Macrobrachium nipponense
Lineage: Eukaryota; Metazoa; Arthropoda; Malacostraca; Decapoda; Palaemonidae
Source: RefSeq, a predicted model, not a curated record